GCCUCACUUCGAGCACCAAGACGUUAGACAUGAUGACACUGCGGAUUUUAAUAAGUCAGCUUGGAUGCUCAGUGGAAUAGCGGGACCUGAUGGUGCCUUUGGAAAGCAGUUUCAGAGGUAGCUGCUACCGGGGAGAGGAUGAACAUUGCAAAGUGCAUUCUCAUCUCGGGACAAGGCGGCGGAGUACGGGACCUUGAGCUCACCUCCUCUUAACCUGCGUUCUGCCACUGCUGAACCCAAGUGUGACGUCCUCCCUCCAUCCCCCGGUUCAUGGAGGUGGAGGCAGGUCCAGCUGGCAGGCCAGGUCUCCCAGGACGGACAUGGACUGGUUGGCGUGAGGCUCCAGGUUACUUCUUGAUUAAGAACGUCUAACCAUGAUCCUGGGCAGUCAUCAUCUAGUGUAUUGAGAGGUGACAAGUCUCAUCCAGCUGCAGACAUCCUGAGCUCUCUGGGGAAAUGAAGCAAAGGGCAUUGCAGAAAGAAGGAAUGCAGAAUAUUCCAUUUCCUGUUGGCUCACUACCAGGAUUCUGCAUCCUGUUCCAUUUUCAUUAAGGUUUGUUGCACAUGACCCGGUGCUUAAUUUUAUGAUGGGUGGGUGUGAAACCCAAAGUAUUUGAGGGGGAUUAGAUAUUGUUGACACUGCAUUGGGCGGGAGGCUACCAAAUGCUUUCCUCCAUUCCUGUAGCUCAGUUGUUUCCCCAGGGAAAAGAGCAUCGCACGCUCUGGCCCGGAGUCCCAGCUCUGGGCAGACUCUCUGUAAGCGUUUCUCUUUACAGACUGAUCUAUGAUCCAUGACACCCUGUCUGCAGGACAGGCACAACACAGUGGCGAUACGGGACAAGAUCCGAACUUGCCCUAGGUAGAAUUACAAUUCUCCUUCCAGCCUUCCUAGCUAAUCCUCGGAUCAGAACACACUUGGAACGCUGAGAGAAAUAGGUAUAGCAAGAAACACAGUGGACCUGUUGGUUUCCAUGUCUGGAUCCAUAUGUAUGUCUAUGGAUGGAACAUUCUGGAAAAGUGACUCAACAUUUUUAUUGUCAAUUAUUAGAAGUCUAUUAUUUAACUAAAAAAAAAAAGUGCACACUUAAAACUCCUAG
This 1097-nucleotide long non-coding RNA is filed under the name Sus scrofa (pig). RNAcentral's name for it is "lncRNA (ENSSSCG00045015853.1)". The record is from RNAcentral. Lineage: Eukaryota; Metazoa; Chordata; Mammalia; Artiodactyla; Suidae.